CUACAAAAAAAUUUCAGCAUAUCAUGAAAAGUUUUACACAUUCUGUAUUGGCUUCCCUAAGUAAACCACCCAAAAUUACAUAUCUCACAUAUUAUACAGAAAUAUGUACAAAAGAAUUGAUGGACUAAAAUCCCACAAAGAGGAAAGAAAAGAAUUGGAAAUUGUUUUAUUUGAUUUAUAACAAAAGACCAGCAAACUGGUUAUAUCUUCUCUUUUCAUCAUGCAGCUUUCCAUAGUCUUGCAUUAGACUCUGAUGCUUGAUAGUCCUUGGAUCCUCAUAGCCAGCAUAUGAAGAAAGUUCCAUAGCAGGAGGGAAGAGAGAAGCAUUAAAAAAAUAGAGAAAGAGAGAGAAAAUCGGAACCAGAAAGAGCAAGAAGAAAGAGGAAGAGAGAAAGGGAAAAGAGGGAAGAGAGAAAAACAAAAUACAAAAAGAGAGAGAAAAUGGGAACCAGAAAGAGGAAGAAGAAGAAGAAAGAGGAGGAGAGAAAAGAAAGAAGAAGAGAGGGAUAGAAAAAAAAUGAAGAGAGAGAGAGAGAGAGAGUGUCGGCACAGAGAAGAGAGAAAAGAAGAAGAAGAAAAAAGUAAAGAGAAAAAAAAAAAAAA
This 603-nucleotide long non-coding RNA is filed under the name Prunus dulcis (almond). Its description in RNAcentral is "sRNA ncRNA". Lineage: Eukaryota; Viridiplantae; Streptophyta; Magnoliopsida; Rosales; Rosaceae. The record is from RNAcentral.